UCGAGAAUUUUUCUCAAUGGGGGAAACCCUGAAGGAGCGACGCCGCGUGAAGGAUGAAGGUCUUCGGAUUGUAAACUUCUGUCAUUAGGGAACAAGUGCUGGCAAGUAACUACUGCCAGCUUGAUAGUACCUGAAGAGGAAGGGACGGCUAACUCUGUGCCAGCAGCCGCGGUAAUACAGAGGUCCCAAGCGUUGUUCGGAUUCAUUGGGCGUAAAGGGUGCGUAGGUGGUGCCGUAAGUUGGAUGUGAAAUCCCGGAGCUCAACUCCGGAACUGCAUUCAAUACUGCGGUGCUAGAGUACUGGAGAGGAGAUUGGAAUUCACGGUGUAGCAGUGAAAUGCGUAGAUAUCGUGAGGAAGACCAGUGGCGAAGGCGGAUCUCUGGACAGUUACUGACACUGAGGCACGAAGGCCAGGGGAGCAAACGGGAUUAGAUACCCCCGUAGUCC
RNAcentral lists this ribosomal RNA (448 nucleotides) under uncultured bacterium. Its description in RNAcentral is "bacterial SSU rRNA". It matches the Rfam family "Bacterial small subunit ribosomal RNA", at positions 355 to 796 of the family's 1533-position model. The record is from RNAcentral.